Molecule: small nuclear RNA, 20 nt
Filed under: Arabidopsis thaliana (thale cress)
Lineage: Eukaryota; Viridiplantae; Streptophyta; Magnoliopsida; Brassicales; Brassicaceae
Description: snRNA_17244
Source: RNAcentral
UGAAGUCACACUCAGUGGAU